Molecule: non-coding RNA, 1152 nt
Organism: Procambarus clarkii (red swamp crayfish)
Lineage: Eukaryota; Metazoa; Arthropoda; Malacostraca; Decapoda; Cambaridae
Source: RefSeq, a predicted model, not a curated record
GGGUGGUGGACCCCAGCCCCAUCCUGCGGGUGGUGGACCCCAGCCCCAUCCUGAGGGUGGUGGACCCCAGCCCCAUCCUGAGGGUGGUGGACCCCAGCCCCAUCCUGAGGGGUUGUAGCGGAAAGUCUACAAUCACACAAUGAUAUCAGAGAUAUUUAUAUCCUUUGAGAUCACUAUGAUGGUCGAACCAGGAUGCACGAAGUACAAGGCUCACUGGUGACCACCAUUCCCAGCCGUAGUGUAGCUUGGUAGUUGGCAGAACUAGCGUAGUUCAGCUGUUAACAAUCGUACUGUACACUCGUGGUGGUGGUGGGAGACAUCAAACCCAGGACCGGCCACCAGAGACAGACGUCUCGAAGACAGAGAUACAGAUACAGAGAACCAGAUAAGGACACCACUAGGGGCCCUUUGACACCACCUGCAGCAUCUCCUGCCGCCCUCAGCGCCCGUCACCACCCACCCGUACCGUUGCCUAGUACGCCCUUCUUCACGCCCCUGCCUAAGACACCCGUUUGGAAAUCUGGAAUAGCGUCUUAGAAACCGGCGGCUAGAAAGGCGGGAUCCAAGAGCCAACGUUCGAUUCUGCAUGCACAAAUAGCCUAGCACAAGCGGCCACCAGGUGUUCACGCAACACUCGUAGCACCAAGAGUUCAGCGCAGGAUACAACAAGUUCAAAAUUAUACUACGGGAACAGAUAUGAGCUGGGGGACGAAGUGCAGGACGACACCAACUGGGAACGACACUACCUGAGGACGACACCAACUGGCAACGAUAUUAGUGGGAACGAUACCAGAGAGGAAGCGUCAAAGAGAUUGAAAAUGAAAAUUCUAAAGAUAUAUUUUGAGAAUAAGAAUUCAAGUGGAACGUAUCUACUGGCCAGCAUAAAGAUAGGCGAGUACUUGCACACGCUCGUUGAAACAGAUAUACUAUCAUACAGUUACUUAGUUCUUUAAUAUAUAUUAUGUUUUAGGCAUGUUGGAAAUAAGUUCGCCUCCUAGGGACUUGUGAGUGUUGCAACUUAUUAAAAUAAGUCAUAGGUUCAGGUAAUGGCUCUGUGAUUAAAUCUACCUUGUAUGUCUACCAGAUGACAUAAUAUCUAUGAUGUGUUGUUAUGAAUAUUUUUAAUCAAUGUAAUAAAUUCUUUACCUCUGA